CCUACGGGAGGCAGCAGUGGGGAAUAUUGCGCAAUGGGCGAAAGCCUGACGCAGCGACGCCGCGUGAGGGAUGAAGGUCUUCGGAUCGUAAACCUCUGUCAGCAGGGAAGAACGGUCACUGUGCUAAUCAGCAGUGAAUUGACGGUACCUGCAAAGGAAGCACCGGCUAACUCCGUGCCAGCAGCCGCGGUAAUACGGAGGGUGCGAGCGUUAAUCGGAAUUACUGGGCGUAAAGCGCUCGUAGGCGGUAUGUCAAGGCAAGGGUGAAAGCCCCGCGCUCAACGUGGGAACUGCCUUUGAUACUGGCAAACUGGAGUGUGUGAGAGGAUAGUGGAAUGCCAGGUGUAGGAGUGAAAUCCGUAGAGAUCUGGAGGAACAUCAGUGGCGAAGGCGACUAUCUGGCACAUAACUGACGCUGAGGAGCGAAAGCGUGGGUAGCAAACAGGAUUAGAUACCCUAGUAGUC
This 465-nucleotide ribosomal RNA is filed under the name uncultured bacterium. RNAcentral's name for it is "partial 16S ribosomal RNA". It matches the Rfam family "Bacterial small subunit ribosomal RNA", at positions 338 to 795 of the family's 1533-position model. The record is from RNAcentral.